GAUGAAGAACGUAGCGAAAUGCGAUAAGUAAUGUGAAUUGCAGAAUUCAGUGAAUCAUCGAAUCUUUGAACGCACAUUGCGCCCGCCAGUAUUCUGGCGGGCAUGCCUGUUCGAGCGUCAUUUCAACCAUCAAGCCCCCGGCUUGUGUUGGGGACCUGCGGCUGCCGCAGGCCCUGAAAAGCAGUGGCGGGCUCGCUGUCACACCGAGCGUAGUAGAUUUCAUCUCGCUCAGGGCGUGCUGCGGGUUCCGGCCGUUAAACCACCUUCAUAACCCAAGGUUGACCUCGGAUCAGGUAGGAAGACCCGCUGAACUUAAGCAUAUCAAUAAGCGGGGA
Molecule: unclassified non-coding RNA, 335 nt
Filed under: soil metagenome
Description: partial contains 5.8S ribosomal RNA, internal transcribed spacer 2, and large subunit ribosomal RNA
Rfam family: 5.8S ribosomal RNA (bases 1-120)
Source: RNAcentral